Molecule: long non-coding RNA, 337 nt
Organism: Telopea speciosissima
Lineage: Eukaryota; Viridiplantae; Streptophyta; Magnoliopsida; Proteales; Proteaceae
Exons: 5
Source: RefSeq, a predicted model, not a curated record
UUGUUCAGAUAGGUUUUUCAUCACCAACUCAGGCUGCCAUCAGGAAGGAUCUCCAUCUAUCAUUGACAGAGUACUCAUUGUUUGCUUCCAUCUUGACAAUUGGUGCAAUGAUUGGUGCAAUCACAAGUGGGAUGAUUGCUGAUUUCAUUGGUCGGAAAGGGGCAAUGAGAAUGUCAGCCAUUUUCUAUGUCAUAGGAUGGCUUGCUAUCUACUUUGGGAAGGGAGCCUUGCCACUGGAUGCUGGAAGACUGUCCUUGGGAUUUGGAGCCGGAAUCUUUUCCUAUGUGGCACCAGUGUUCAUAGCUGAAAUAGCACCAAAAAAUAUUCGAGGAGGUCU